GUGGCUUCAUAUGAGUCGAUACUCGGGGCACCUCCCACCCGUGUUGCCCGAACCUAUGUUGCCUCGGCGGGCCCCGCGCCCGCCGACGGCCCCCCUGAACGCUGUCUGAAGUUGCAGUCUGAGACCUAUAACGAAAUUAGUUAAAACUUUCAACAACGGAUCUCUUGGUUCCGGCAUCGAUGAAGAACGCAGCGAAAUGCGAUAACUAAUGUGAAUUGCAGAAUUCAGUGAAUCAUCGAGUCUUUGAACGCACAUUGCGCCCUCUGGUAUUCCGGAGGGCAUGCCUGUCCGAGCGUCAUUGCUGCCCUCAAGCCCGGCUUGUGUGUUGGGCCCCGUCCCCCCCGCCGGGGGGACGGGCCCGAAAGGCAGCGGCGGCACCGCGUCCGGUCCUCGAGCGUAUGGGGCUUCGUCACCCGCUCUAGUAGGCCCGGCCGGCGCCAGCCGACCCCCAACCUUUAAUUAUCUCAGGUUGACCUCGGAUCAGGUAGGGAUACCCGCUGAACUUAAGCAUAUCAAUAAGGCGGAGGAA
Molecule: ribosomal RNA, 529 nt
Filed under: Penicillium citrinum
Lineage: Eukaryota; Fungi; Ascomycota; Eurotiomycetes; Eurotiales; Aspergillaceae
Description: eukaryotic LSU rRNA
Rfam family: 5.8S ribosomal RNA (bases 145-298)
Source: RNAcentral